RNAcentral lists this ribosomal RNA (494 nucleotides) under uncultured bacterium. Its description in RNAcentral is "partial 16S ribosomal RNA". It matches the Rfam family "Bacterial small subunit ribosomal RNA", at positions 28 to 507 of the family's 1533-position model. The record is from RNAcentral.
GACGAACGCUGGCGGCGUGCUUAACACAUGCAAGUCGAACGGUGAAGCGCCUUCCUUUUUGGUGGGUGUGGAUGAGUGGCGAACGGGUGAGUAACACGUGAGUAACCUGCCCCCUUCUUCUGGAUAACCGCAUGAAAGUGUGGCUAAUACGGGAUAUUCUGGGUCUGUCGCAUGAUGGGUCUGUGAAAGAUAUUGUUUCGGUGGGGGAUGGGCUCGCGGCCUAUCAGCUUGUUGGUGGGGUGAUGGCCUACCAAGGCGGUGACGGGUAGCCGGCCUGAGAGGGUGGACGGUCACACUGGGACUGAGACACGGCCCAGACUCCGAGGGGAGGCAGCAGGGGGGAAUAGGGCACAAUGGGCGCAAGCCUGAUGCAGCGACGCCGCGUGAGGGAUGGAGGCCUGCGGGUUGUGAACCUCUUUCGCCAGUGAAGCAGGCCUGCCUCGUUUGUGGGUGGGUUGACGGUAGCUGGAUAAGAAGCGCCGGCUAACUACGUG